This 253-nucleotide ribosomal RNA is filed under the name uncultured bacterium. RNAcentral describes it as "partial 16S ribosomal RNA". It matches the Rfam family "Bacterial small subunit ribosomal RNA", at positions 524 to 776 of the family's 1533-position model. The record is from RNAcentral.
UACGAAGGGGGCUAGCGUUGCUCGGAAUUACUGGGCGUAAAGCGCACGUAGGCGGGUUCUUAAGUCGGUGGUGAAAUCCUGGAGCUCAACUCCAGAACUGCCUUCGAUACUGGGAAUCUUGAGUCCGGGAGAGGUGAGUGGAACUGCGAGUGUAGAGGUGAAAUUCGUAGAUAUUCGCAAGAACACCAGUGGCGAAGGCGGCUCACUGGCCCGGUACUGAUGCUGAGGUGCGAAAGCGUGGGGAGCAAACAGG